Molecule: ribosomal RNA, 513 nt
Filed under: uncultured bacterium
Lineage: Bacteria
Description: partial 16S ribosomal RNA
Rfam family: Bacterial small subunit ribosomal RNA
Source: RNAcentral
GACGAACGCUGGCGGCAUGCCUAAUACAUGCAAGUCGAGCGAACAGAUGAAGUGCUUGCACUUCUGACGUUAGCGGCGAACGGGUGAGUAACACGUAAGGAAUCUACCUAUAAGCGGGGGAUAACAUUCGGAAACGGGUGCUAAUACCGCAUAAUAUCUUCUUCCGCAUGGAAGAAGAUUGAAAGACGGCUCUGCUGUCACUUAUAGAUGACCUUGCGGUGCAUUAGUUAGUUGGUGGGGUAACGGCCUACCAAGACGAUGAUGCAUAGCCGACCUGAGAGGGUGAUCGGCCACAUUGGGACUGGGACACGGCCCAAACUCCUACGGGAGGCAGCAGUAGGGAAUCUUCCGCAAUGGGCGAAAGCCUGACGGAGCAAUGCCGCGUGAGUGAAGAAGGCCUUCGGGUCGUAAAACUCUGUUAUAAGAGAAGAACAAAUUGUAGAGUAACUGCUACAGUCUUGACGGUAUCUUAUCAGAAAGCCACGACUAACUACGAGCCAGCAGCCGCGGUAA